Molecule: ribosomal RNA, 431 nt
Filed under: uncultured bacterium
Lineage: Bacteria
Description: partial 16S ribosomal RNA
Rfam family: Bacterial small subunit ribosomal RNA
Source: RNAcentral
AACGAACGCUGGCGGCAGGCUUAACACAUGCAAGUCGAGCGCCCCGCCAGGGGCGCGGCAGCCGGGUGAGUACCGCGUGGGAACGUACCUUUUGGUUCGGAACAACUCCGGGAAACUGGAGCUAAUACCGGAUAAGCCCUAACGGGGAAAGAUUUAUCGCCGAAAGAUCGGCCCGGGUCUGAUUAGCUAGUUGGGGAGGUAACGGCACACCAAGGCGACGAUCAGUAGCUGGUCUGAGAGGAUGAUCAGCCACACUGGGACUGAGACACGGACCAGACUCGUACGGGAGGCAGCAGUGGGGAAUAUUGGACAAUGAGGGCAAGUCUGAUACAGCCGUGCCGCGUGAGUGAUGAAGGCCUUAGGGUUGUAAAGCUCUUUUGACCGGGAAGAUAAUGACUGUACCGGAAGAAUAAGCCCCGGCUAACUUCGUG